This 299-nucleotide signal recognition particle RNA is filed under the name Saimiri boliviensis boliviensis (Bolivian squirrel monkey). RNAcentral describes it as "Metazoan signal recognition particle RNA (ENSSBOG00000005953.1)". It matches the Rfam family "Metazoan signal recognition particle RNA". From Rfam's summary of the family: The signal recognition particle (SRP) is a universally conserved ribonucleoprotein. It is involved in the co-translational targeting of proteins to membranes. The record is from RNAcentral. Lineage: Eukaryota; Metazoa; Chordata; Mammalia; Primates; Cebidae.
GCUGGGCGCAGUGGCGUGUGUCUGUAGUCCCAGCUACUCAGGAGUCUGAGGCUGGAGGAUUGCUUGAGCCCAGAAGUCUUGGGCUGUAGUGCGCUAUGCCAAUCGGGUGUCCGCACUAAAUUUGGCAUCAAUAUGGUGACAUCCCGGGAGCGGGGGACCACCAAGUUGCCUAAGGAGGGGUGAACCAGACCAGGUCCGAAGCGGAGCAGGUCAAAACUCACGUAAUGAUCAGUAGUGGGAUUGCACCUAUGAAUAGCCACUGCACUCCAGCCUGGGCAACAUAGCAAGACCCCAUCUCU